UACGGGGGGAGCAAGCGUUGUUCGGAAUUACUGGGCGUAAAGGGCGCGUAGGCGGCCAACUAAGUCGGACGUGAAAUCCCUCAGCUUAACUGGGGAACUGCGUCCGAUACUGGAUGGCUUGGAUUUGGGAGAGGGAUGCGGAAUUCCAGGUGUAGCGGUGAAAUGCGUAGAUAUCUGGAGGAACACCGGUGGCGAAGGCGGCAUCCUGGACCAAUAUUGACGCUGAGGAGCGAAAGCUAGGGGAGCAAACAGG
This 253-nucleotide ribosomal RNA is filed under the name uncultured bacterium. RNAcentral describes it as "partial 16S ribosomal RNA". It matches the Rfam family "Bacterial small subunit ribosomal RNA", at positions 524 to 776 of the family's 1533-position model. The record is from RNAcentral.